RNAcentral lists this long non-coding RNA (478 nucleotides) under Medicago truncatula (barrel medic). Its description in RNAcentral is "long non-coding RNA (MTRU_LNC004521)". The record is from RNAcentral. Lineage: Eukaryota; Viridiplantae; Streptophyta; Magnoliopsida; Fabales; Fabaceae.
GUGGUGGAGUAGGUAAAAGGGUAAGAGGAGAAGUUCUCAAAAGAAUCAAUAAAAGGGUGGUGGUGGUGGUGAUGCAUAUGAGAUUCCAAAGACAGGUGGUAUAGGCCCUUCAUAUACAGGUGGUGGUGGCGGCGAUGAAUAUACCGGUGGUGGAGGUGAGGGAUAUGCAUAUACUGGUGAUGGUGGGGGUGAGGUGUAUACCGGUGGUGGCGGUGAGGGAUAGGCAUAUACUGGUGAUGGUGGUGGUGAUGGGGAUGGUGGUGGGUGAUAAGGUGUUUGAUGUGGCGCUGGCGAUGAUGGUGGUGGAGGUUCUACACAAGGUGGCGGUGGAGGUGGUGGAGGUUCUACACAAGGUGGUGGAGAUGGCGGUGGUGGUGAAUAGACUGGUGGUGGAGGUGAGUGUACUGGAGGAGGUGGUGGGGGUGAUAAAUAUGGAUAUACGGGUGGAGGAGGUGAGUGAGGUGGUGGUGGUGGCGAA